RNAcentral lists this long non-coding RNA (1166 nucleotides) under Anser brachyrhynchus (Pink-footed goose). RNAcentral's name for it is "lncRNA (ENSABRG00000015734.1)". The record is from RNAcentral. Lineage: Eukaryota; Metazoa; Chordata; Aves; Anseriformes; Anatidae.
UUUUUUAAAAAAUAAAAAAAAAAUAAAUAAUUAAAAAAAUUAUUUGGCAAGUUAAAAAUUAAGCUAGAUAAUUCUUUUUUAGCACACACCAGUUUGAGAAUAUUGGACCAGUACUGUAAGGAGCAGAUCAGUCAGACCCAGACAGGUUGCUCAGUACUGGACAAAUGAAUGGCAGAACUCAAAAUGAAGCUGUCUCCACAGCAACACAAACACACAAAAAAAGCUACAUUUGUGACCCAACACAUUGUAUCUGUUAAAAAUUCUGACUGGUCAGCUGCAAGAAGGGAGCCUUCACUUCACUGAGUUUGCUCUCCAGCAAUCCUGCAAAAUAUAUAGGCGUUAUACAAUAACAUGUGUUUUGCAUUUCCUUAAACGUGGCAGAAAAAAAAAGAGAAAGGUUUUGCUUCCAGCUGUCUGAGGAUUUGAUUGGUUUGCCUAUACUGACUUAUAUCGGGAUCACUACAGUCUCCCUCUGCAACCAAGUAGGCCACAGUCUGGAGAGAAAGGUGAGAUUGCACUGCCAAAGAAAUACAGUAUCAGUACUGUGGUUUGCUGUAUUCUUUCACCCAAAGUCCUGUAAAGCACUUUACAAAUGUGAAAUUGCACCCCAAAAGAGCUAUGCUAUGAAGACACCAUUUGCUUUCUUAGUAAAGAAGAAAGAAAAAAAAAACCACACACAUGACUUUCUCAUUUCAGCUUCUUAAAACACCACACCUCUUAUUUUGCCAACCUGCCAGAAAGACCAGCAAAUUUUGGCAGAUUCUGCAGGUUUUGAGCAACAGGUUUAUAAGACCUUACCAUGCUUAUUUUAAAGACUCAUGAAGAAACUGAGAUACUAACAAAUACCAAAUUCAAAAGGAGUUAGCAACAAAACUCCAAGUGUACCUCUGGAUGAUGAUUCCUUGCGCAGCUACAGGAGCCUCUUAAAAAACCCUCAACACCCAAAACUUUCUGCCCCAUGACAUCCUCCUCAGUUUGAAUGACAUCCCAACUGUGCUCCUGAAUCUCAAAAAAGCAAACAGUUAUUACAGACUAUACAGUUUCACGUUUCGUUUGGUCUACAAUGCACCUACAGCUAAUAUCAAUUAAAAUCUCCACUAGUCCAAGAUGUAGAAAGAAACAGCGGACUUCGAGCUUUUGCUAAAUAAAGCUAAGGAAAGAUAACA